GUAGGUGGCAAGCGUUGUCCGGAAUUAUUGGGGCGUAAAGCGCGCGCAGGCGGUUCUUUAAGUCUGAUGUGAAAGCCCACGGGCUCAACCGUGAGGGUCAUUGGAAACUGGAGAACUUGAGUACAGGAGAGGAAAGCGGAAUUCCACGUGUAGCGGUGAAAUGCGUAGAGAUGUGGAGGAACACCAGUGGCGAAGGCGGCUUUCUGGUCUGUAACUGACGCUGAGGCGCGAAAGCGUGGGGAGCAAACAGGAUUAGAUACCCUGGUAGUCCACGCCGUAAACGAUGAGUGCUAAGUGUUAGGGGGUUUCCGCCCCUUAGUGCUGCAGCUAACGCAUUAAGCACUCCGCCUGGGGAGUACGGCCGCAAAGGCUG
This 373-nucleotide ribosomal RNA is filed under the name uncultured organism. RNAcentral's name for it is "partial 16S ribosomal RNA". It matches the Rfam family "Bacterial small subunit ribosomal RNA", at positions 527 to 896 of the family's 1533-position model. The record is from RNAcentral.